RNAcentral lists this ribosomal RNA (795 nucleotides) under Curvularia clavata. Its description in RNAcentral is "SSU rRNA". It matches the Rfam family "Eukaryotic small subunit ribosomal RNA", at positions 64 to 868 of the family's 1831-position model. The record is from RNAcentral. Lineage: Eukaryota; Fungi; Ascomycota; Dothideomycetes; Pleosporales; Pleosporaceae.
UAUAAACCCGUUAUACCGUGAACUGCGAAUGGCUCAUUAAAUCAGUUAUCGUUUAUUUGAUAAUACCUUACUACUUGGAUAACCGUGGUAAUUCUAGAGCUAAUACAUGCUGAAAAUCCCGACUUCGGAAGGGAUGUGUUUAUUAGAUAAAAAACCAAUGCCCUUCGGGGCUUUUUGGUGAUUCAUGAUAACUUUACGGAUCGCAUAGCCUUGCGCUGGCGACGGUUCAUUCAAAUUUCUGCCCUAUCAACUUUCGAUGGUAAGGUAUUGGCUUACCAUGGUUUCAACGGGUAACGGGGAAUUAGGGUUCGAUUCCGGAGAGGGAGCCUGAGAAACGGCUACCACAUCCAAGGAAGGCAGCAGGCGCGCAAAUUACCCAAUCCCGACACGGGGAGGUAGUGACAAUAAAUACUGAUACAGGGCUCUUUUGGGUCUUGUAAUUGGAAUGAGUACAAUUUAAACCUCUUAACGAGGAACAAUUGGAGGGCAAGUCUGGUGCCAGCAGCCGCGGUAAUUCCAGCUCCAAUAGCGUAUAUUAAAGUUGUUGCAGUUAAAAAGCUCGUAGUUGAAACUUGGGUCUGGCUGGCGGGUCCGCCUCACCGCGUGCACUCGUCCGGCCGGGCCUUCCUUCUGAAGAACCUCAUGCCCUUCACUGGGCGUGUUGGGGAAUCAGGACUUUUUACUUUGAAAAAAUUAGAGUGUUCAAAGCAGGCCUUUGCUCGAAUACGUUUAGCAUGGAAUAAUAAAAUAGGGGCGUGCGUUUCUAUUUUGUUGCUUCCACAGACCCCGCAAUGA